AUUGAACGCUGGCGGCAGGCCUAACACAUGCAAGUCGAACGGUAACAGGAAGCAGCUUGCUGCUUCGCUGACGAGUAGCGGACGGGUGAGUAAUGUCUGGGAAGCUGCCUGAUGGAGGGGGAUAACUACUGGAAACGGUAGCUAAUACCGCAUAAUGUCGCAAGACCAAAGAGGGGGACCUUCGGGCCUCUUGCCAUCGGAUGUGCCCAGAUGGGAUUAGCUUGUUGGUGGGGUAACGGCUCACCAAGGCGACGAUCCCUAGCUGGUCUGAGAGGAUGACCAGCCACACUGGAACUGAGACACGGUCCAGACUCCUACGGGAGGCAGCAGUGGGGAAUAUUGCACAAUGGGCGCAAGCCUGAUGCAGCCAUGCCGCGUGUAUGAAGAAGGCCUUCGGGUUGUAAAGUACUUUCAGCGGGGAGGAAGGGAGUAAAGUUAAUACCUUUGCUCAUUGACGUUACCCGCAGAAGAAGCACCGGCUAACUCCGUG
RNAcentral lists this ribosomal RNA (490 nucleotides) under uncultured bacterium. RNAcentral's name for it is "partial 16S ribosomal RNA". It matches the Rfam family "Bacterial small subunit ribosomal RNA", at positions 30 to 507 of the family's 1533-position model. The record is from RNAcentral.